RNAcentral lists this ribosomal RNA (376 nucleotides) under Bacillus sp. (in: firmicutes). RNAcentral's name for it is "bacterial SSU rRNA". It matches the Rfam family "Bacterial small subunit ribosomal RNA", at positions 94 to 463 of the family's 1533-position model. Lineage: Bacteria; Bacillati; Bacillota; Bacilli; Caryophanales; Bacillaceae. The record is from RNAcentral.
AGCGGCGGACGGGUGACUAACACGUGGGUAACCUGCCCAUAAGACUGGGAUAACUCCGGGAAACCGGGGCUAAUACCGGAUAACAUUUUGAACCGCAUGGUUCGAAAUUGAAAGGCGGCUUCGGCUGUCACUUAUGGAUGGACCCGCGUCGCAUUAGCUAGUUGGUGAGGUAACGGCUCACCAAGGCAACGAUGCGUAGCCGACCUGAGAGGGUGAUCGGCCACACUGGGACUGAGACACGGCCCAGACUCCUACGGGAGGCAGCAGUAGGGAAUCUUCCGCAAUGGACGAAAGUCUGACGGAGCAACGCCGCGUGAGUGAUGAAGGCUUUCGGGUCGUAAAACUCUGUUGUUAGGGAAGAACAAGUGCUAGUUGA